This 490-nucleotide ribosomal RNA is filed under the name uncultured bacterium. Its description in RNAcentral is "bacterial SSU rRNA". It matches the Rfam family "Bacterial small subunit ribosomal RNA", at positions 903 to 1397 of the family's 1533-position model. The record is from RNAcentral.
AAAUGAAUUGACGGGAGCCCGCACAAGCAGUGGAGUAUGUGGUUUAAUUCGACGCAACGCGAAGAACCUUACCAGAGCUUGACAUCCAAGGAAGGCGGCGUAAUGGCCGCUGUGCCCUUCGGGGAGCCUUGAGACAGGUGGUGCAUGGUUGUCGUCAGCUCGUGUCGUGAGAUGUUGGGUUAAGUCCCGCAACGAGCGCAACCCUUAUUGUUAGUUGCUACGGAAGAGCACUCUAACGAGACUGCCGUUGACAAAACGGAGGAAGGUGGGGACGACGUCAAAUCAUCAUGCCCCUUACGCCCUGGGCUACACACGUACUACAAUGGCGCAAAACAACGGGGAGCGAAGGCGCGAGCCGGAGCAAAUCCUAAAAAGGCGUCCCAGUUCAGACUGCAGGCUGCAACUCGCCUGCACGAAGUCGGAAUUGCUAGUAAUCGCGGAUCAGAAUGCCGCGGUGAAUACGUUCCCGGGCUUUGUACACACCGCCCGU